GAUCAUGGCUCGAGAACGAACGCUGGCAGCGUGGAUUAGGCAUGCAAGUCGAACGGGAGUCCAUGAAAUAGCAAUAUGGAUUGGUGAGAGUGGCGGAAGGGCGAGGAACACGUGAGCAACCUGUCCUUGAGGUGGGGAAAACCGUUGGAAACGACGGCUAAUACCGAAUGCGGCGCCCGGAGACAUCUCCGGCGCGCUAAAGGGGGCCGCAAGGCUCCCCCUCUUCGAGGGGCUCGCGCACCAUCAGCUUGUUGGCGGGGUAACGGCCCACCAAGGCUCACGGUUAGCUGGUCUGAGAGGAUGGCCAGCCGCACUGGGACUGAGAUACUGCCCAGACUCCUACGGGAGGCUGCAGUCGAGGAUCAUUCGCAAUGGGGGAAACCCUGACGAUGCGACGCCUGCGUGGAGGAUGAAGGCCCUCGGGUCGUAAACUCCUGUCAUGGGGGAAAAGGCGAGGGGACCCAACACGUCCCUUAGUUGAUGGUACCCCAAGAGGAACGGGCGGCUAACUCUGUGCCAGCCGCCGC
Molecule: ribosomal RNA, 527 nt
Filed under: uncultured bacterium
Lineage: Bacteria
Description: bacterial SSU rRNA
Rfam family: Bacterial small subunit ribosomal RNA
Source: RNAcentral